Molecule: ribosomal RNA, 460 nt
Filed under: uncultured bacterium
Lineage: Bacteria
Description: partial 16S ribosomal RNA
Rfam family: Bacterial small subunit ribosomal RNA
Source: RNAcentral
CCUACGGGGGGCAGCAGUGAGGAAUAUUGGUCAAUGGACGCAAGUCUGAACCAGCCAUGCCGCGUGCAGGAAGACGGCUCUAUGAGUUGUAAACUGCUUUUGUACGAGGGUAAACGCAGAUACGCGUGUCUGUCUGAAAGGAUCUUACGAAUAAGGAUCGGCUAACUCCGUGCCAGCAGCCGCGGUCAUACGGAGGAUUCAAGCGUUAUCCGGAUUUAUUGGGUUUAAAGGGUGCGUAGGCGGUCGGAUAAGUUAGGGGGGAAAUCCCGAGGCGCAACUUCGGAAUUGCCUCUGAUACUGUUCGGCUAGAGAGUAGUUGCGGUAGGCGGAAUGUAUGGUGUAGCGGUGAAAUGCUUAGAGAUCAUACAGAACACCGAUUGCGAAGGCAGCUUACCAAGCUACGUCUGACGUUGAGGCACGAAAGCGUGGGGAGCAAACAGGAUUAGAUACCCUGGUAGUC